Molecule: transfer-messenger RNA, 352 nt
Filed under: Elusimicrobiales
Lineage: Bacteria; Pseudomonadati; Elusimicrobiota; Elusimicrobia
Also listed under: 3 other names
Description: YA12-FULL-51-18 sp001799575 Standard tmRNA
Rfam family: transfer-messenger RNA
About the family: Bacterial tmRNA, also known as 10Sa RNA or SsrA, is named for its dual tRNA and mRNA-like properties. Its role is to liberate the mRNA from a stalled ribosome. To accomplish this part of the tmRNA is used as a reading frame that ends in a translation stop signal.
Source: RNAcentral
GGGGGCGAAUAGGCUCGACGGCAGCUUAUCGCGUCAAAGUUGCAGGCCAUGGUUGACCAGGCCAUGUAAAACAGGGUCAAAAACAAAAAAGCCAACUCAAAUGAGAUGGCCUGGGCUCACGCUUAAGUGAGCCUCGCUGCCGGACGUCUCUCUGCAACGUCCGGUGAGCGUCAAAACGCAGGGUGCUGUUCCGGCGUCGCGCUUCGUACGCCGGGGCAAAAGACCACACGGAGCUUUGGAUCGGUUUUGUCGUCCUGAACUGAGGCCGAUCCGAGACAAAAUCAGGGCUAAGCCUGUAGCGGCUCUGGCGCGUAAUUGUCGGACCCGGGUGCGAAUCCCGGCGCCUCCAUAA